GACAGAGGAUGCAAGCGUUAUCCGGAAUGAUUGGGCGUAAAGCGUCUGUAGGUGGCUUUUCAAGUCCGCCGUCAAAUCCCAGGGCUCAACCCUGGACAGGCGGUGGAAACUGCCAAGCUGGAGUACGGUAGGGGCAGAGGGAAUUCCCGGUGUAGCGGUGAAAUGCGCAGAUAUCGGGAGGAACACCGGUGGCGAAGGCGGUUCUCUGGGCCUUACCUGACGCUGAGGAGCGAAAGCGUGGGGAGCGAACAGG
Molecule: ribosomal RNA, 253 nt
Filed under: uncultured bacterium
Lineage: Bacteria
Description: partial 16S ribosomal RNA
Rfam family: Bacterial small subunit ribosomal RNA
Source: RNAcentral